This 720-nucleotide ribosomal RNA is filed under the name uncultured bacterium. RNAcentral's name for it is "bacterial SSU rRNA". It matches the Rfam family "Bacterial small subunit ribosomal RNA", at positions 46 to 764 of the family's 1533-position model. The record is from RNAcentral.
GCUUAACACAUGCAAGUCGAACGGUAACAGGCCUUCGGGCGCUGACGAGUGGCGGACGGGUGAGUAACGCGUAGGAAUCUGCCUUAUAGUGGGGGACAACGUGGGGAAACCCACGCUAAUACCGCAUACGCCCUACGGGGGAAAGGAGGGGAUCUUCGGGCCUUUCGCUAUGAGAUGAGCCUGCGUUAGAUUAGCUAGUUGGUAGGGUAAAGGCCUACCAAGGCGACGAUCUAUAGCUGGUCUGAGAGGACGAUCAGCCACACUGGGACUGAGACACGGCCCAGACUCCUACGGGAGGCAGCAGUGGGGAAUAUUGGACAAUGGGCGAAAGCCUGAUCCAGCAAUACCGCGUGUGUGAAGAAGGCCUUAGGGUUGUAAAGCACUUUCAAUUGGGAGGAAAACCUGCCGGUCAAUACCCGGUAGCCUGACAUUACCUUUAGAAGAAGCACCGGCUAACUCCGUGCCAGCAGCCGCGGUAAUACGGAGGGUGCGAGCGUUAAUCGGAAUUACUGGGCGUAAAGCGUGCGUAGGUGGUUCGUUAAGUCAGAUGUGAAAGCCCUGGGCUCAACCUGGGAACUGCAUUUGAAACUGGCGGACUAGAGUUUAGUAGAGGGGAGUGGAAUUUCAGGUGUAGCGGUGAAAUGCGUAGAUAUCUGAAGGAACACCAGUGGCGAAGGCGACUCCCUGGACUAAAACUGACGCUGAGGUACGAAAGCGUGG